UGAGGAAUAUUGCGCAAUGGGGGCAACCCUGACGCAGCAACGCCGCGUGAGUGAGGAAGGUUUUCGGACCGUAAAGCUCUGUCGAGCGGGAAGAAAUGUAUCGUGGCUAAUAUCCAUGAUAUUUGACGGUACCGCUAAAGGAAGCACCGGCUAACUCCGUGCCAGCAGCCGCGGUAAUACGGGGGGUGCAAGCGUUGUUCGGAAUUAUUGGGCGUAAAGGGCGCGUAGGCGGUUAUGAAAGUCAGAUGUGAAAUACUUCGGCUCAACUGAAGAACUGCAUCUGAAACUUCAUAACUCGAGUACUGAAGAGGGAAAUGGAAUUCCUGGUGUAGAGGUGAAAUUCGUAGAUAUCAGGAGGAACACCAGUGGCGAAGGCGAUUUCCUGGUCAGAUACUGACGCUGAGGCGCGAAAGUGUGGGGAGCAAACA
Molecule: ribosomal RNA, 428 nt
Filed under: uncultured prokaryote
Description: bacterial SSU rRNA
Rfam family: Bacterial small subunit ribosomal RNA
Source: RNAcentral